This 1302-nucleotide long non-coding RNA is filed under the name Anser cygnoides (Swan goose). Its description in RNAcentral is "lncRNA (ENSACDG00005004238.1)". The record is from RNAcentral. Lineage: Eukaryota; Metazoa; Chordata; Aves; Anseriformes; Anatidae.
GAACUAUUGGUUAUCUCUGGGCACAAGAGACAAUCAUUUUUUCAUGCCAGAAGAUGUUGGUUUCAUCCUGGUUUGGAAGAGGAAUACCGCUGAAACCUUUAAAAAUAUCUGUGGGAUAAAAAACCCUGGUGUCUUCCCAGAAGCACAGGGUCUAAUAGAAACAAAUUGAGUCUUCACUUGGAUGAAAAUGCAACUAAACCUAGCCCAGCAACAGGGUUAUAAUCCUAGUGCAGAGAAUAUUUUGAGAAGACUUUCAUAGGCUUUAAUCAGACAACCUCAGGAUUUGAUAGUUAUAAGGAAGAAAAAAAUACUUGUGGUAACUCUUGAGUAACCAUGCAAUAAAGUCUGAAUAAUGGGUGAAGCUGAUGGUUCGUGGGAACCACUGUACAGUUUUAAAAUAACAGUUCCUAUUAAAGACUGCUCACUGUCUUCACAGAUCUCAGAAUGAACCAUCAAAAAAUAACCACUGUUUGUACCGCAGAGAGCACUCAAAUACCCUAAUCAUGGAGCAGAGCUUUGUUUGGAGCAGAUACUGUACCAACAAAGAAAAUAAGGCAGCAUCAAGACUGAUGAUGUGGCAGGAUUAGAACCUGAUCCAGGCUACGGUGGGGUAGCUGGCUCAUCUCAGUGGGAGAGCUGGAACGGAGUGUUAAAUUGCUGCGAGAAGAAACUGUUCCAAAGCCACGCAGAUUCUUCACAGUGCUUCCUACGCCAAACAUCCUCACUCCCACAGGGAAGAAAAGCAGCGUGGAAAGGUGGCAGUGCUCGUAAUCUGUGCGACUGGCACAGGAGGAGCAGCUUGUGAGCGGCCUCUGGCUCCACCGACUGGCAUGUGGUUCCCUGUAGUAGUGAAGCUGUGACGGGGCCCCAGCUGAUAUGGGGUCGGGGCUUUCCCCCUGCUCAUCUCCAGCACAGGGGCCCAGCACUCACAGCCAGUGCUGAAAGCACAAGAGAGAGCUGCCACUGGCAGCUUUUGUGCUGGUCUCAGAGUUGAGGCCCACUGGAGAUCUGGCAUCUGAGGAGCAGAGAGCAAGAGCCUCCAGGAGCCAGCAGCACCAGCAGGAAUGGGAGGCAAGCAAAACCCGUGAGUGGUUGGUGUUCCCAUUUAGCACUGCCCUAUUAAGCAGUGUUCUUUGCUAGAAAUAACACCAACCUCAAGUAUCUUCCUCUGGGAGGCAUUCCAGUUAGGAACUUUUCCCAUUUAAGUGAGAAAUGCGGGGUGUUAAGAAGUGUUCAGUCUGGACAACAGUCAAAUAGGAAAAAAAAAAUAAAUUAAAUAAAAUAAGUAAUUUAAGCUGGAGA